GGAAAGACCCCGUGAACCUUUACUGCAGGCUUCUAUUGGUCGUGAGCAUAAAUUGCGUAGGAUAAGUGGGAGACGUUGAUCCGGACCUUUUGGGGUUCGGGGAGUCGUUGGUGAAAUACCACUCUGUUUACGUUUACGGCCUAACCCCGAUUCCCGUGAAACCGGGCGGGGGACCAUGGGUGCCGGGCAGUUUGACUGGGGCGGUCUCCUCCUAAAAGGUAACGGAGGAGCGCAAUGGUACCCUCAGCGCGGUUGGCAAUCGCGUGUAGAGCGUAAACGUAUAAGGGUGCUUGACUGCGAGACACAUAGGUCGAGCAGGUGGGAAACCAGGCGUUAGUGAUCCGGUGGUUCCGUGUGGAAGGGCCAUCGCUCAUCAGAUAAAAGGUACUCCGGGGAUAAC
This 400-nucleotide ribosomal RNA is filed under the name Chloropicon laureae. RNAcentral's name for it is "partial Bacterial large subunit ribosomal RNA". It matches the Rfam family "Bacterial large subunit ribosomal RNA", at positions 2082 to 2478 of the family's 2925-position model. Lineage: Eukaryota; Viridiplantae; Chlorophyta; Chloropicophyceae; Chloropicales; Chloropicaceae. The record is from RNAcentral.